RNAcentral lists this long non-coding RNA (1775 nucleotides) under Marmota monax (woodchuck). Lineage: Eukaryota; Metazoa; Chordata; Mammalia; Rodentia; Sciuridae. The record is from RNAcentral.
GCCUCAGCCCUAGAAUCAGCCCUUCUCUAAGGAACCUACUUCCUUUUGUUAGUACUUCAAAACCAAGAUCUGGGCCUACGAUCCAACAUGCUGACUACACCUGAUCUUGCUAGCUAAGCAGAAUUAGAUGUGGUUAGUAUUGGAUGAAGAAACCAAAAUCUGGACACUGGAAGUGCUUCUUACUAUUGGGACAUCACUACCUCUUGACAUCCCAGUAGACAAAGCUAGAAAAAUGUAUGUAUAUUAAUCCAUGUAUAUGUACGUGUCUAUAAUUAUUUGUGUGUGUGUAUUAAGCUCAACACAAGUUUGUACUAUAUUCAACUUGAAUCUAGGGCAUAUAUUUAGAUUUCAGUGUUGCUAUUUUUCCUGUUCACUGACUAAAUUCAUAAAAAGAUAGGCCAAAAAAAAAAAAAUCAGAAGCCCAACCAAAUUUUAGCAGCUCUUUGCAAAAAAUAUAAUAUUGAUAUGUUUAAGUAAUGAAAUAUAUUGCCUCCAAAUAAUGUCUGUGACUUUAAAAUAUUUAUAUACACUUUUCCCAGGGACAAAUAAAACAUUAAUUUCAUAGAUUGAAAAAACGGAGCAUAGAGAAGCUGCAGUGAAGACAGAAUUAAGAUAAAUAAGAGCAAGAGCAAAUUAAACACAUGUAAAUGGCUUUUUUUUUUUUUUUUGGUGGUGGUGGGUCCUGGGGAUUGAACCCAGGGGCGCUUAACCACUAAGCCACAUUCCCAGCCUUUUUAAAAAGUAUUUUAUUUAGAUGGACUGGGGUUGUGGCUCAGUGGUAAAGUGCUCGCCUAGCACAUGUGAGGCUCUGGGUUCAAUCCUUGGCAUCACAUAAAAAUAACAUAAAGGUCAUUGUGUACACCUACAACUAUAAUAAGUUUCUUAUGAGUUGCUUAGAGACUGGCUUUGAAUUUGGGAUCCUCCUGUCUCAGCCUCCCAAGAUGCUGGGAUUACGGGAGUGUGCCACUGUACCAGCCAUCAGGCAUCCUUUAAAGAGGGAUUUGUCUAGACUAGUUAUACUAAUAAAAAUUAUUUGUUUUGGGGCUGGGGUUGUGACCCAAGUGGUAGAGUGCUUGCCUUGCACACAUGAGGCACUGGGUUCAAUCCUCGGCACCACAUAAAAAUAAAUGAAUAGUUAAAACAAAGGUAUUGUGUCCAUGUUAAAAAAAAUAUUUGUUUUAUUAACUUAUCACUAAUUCUCCCUCCUAAAUUGAAAAUAUGGCUGUUUCUGCCAGUAUUUAUUGAAAUAAGAGAUUAUCGGGAGGUUUGAUGCAAAAUGAUAGUUUUAUCCUGGUACAAAACAGAUAAUGUCCUAACAGUGAAGAUGAUGGAAUCUUUGUAUAAAAACAAUUAUUUAGUGAACUGACUUCAGUAACUUUUUUUUUUUUUUUUUGAUACCAGAAAUUGAAUUCAGGGGCGCCUAACCACCGAGCUCUAUCCCCAGCCCUUUUAAAAAUAUUUAAUUUAGAGACAGGGUCUCGCUAAGUUGCUUAGGGCCUAAGUUGCCAAGGCUGGCUUUAAACUCAUGAUCCUCCUGCCUCAGCCUCCCAGCCCAUUGGGAUUACAGUCAUACACAACCUCCUGUCUUCACUUCAGUAAUUUUUUGAGAUUAGAAUGAAAAUCCUUCCAUAUAUACUAUGAUGCAUUGUUAAGAGUUCACAGAAGGGCUGGGGAUGUGGCUCAAGCGGUAGCACGCUCGCCUGGCAUGCGUGCGGCCCGGGUUCGAUCCUCAGCACCACAUACAAACAAAGAUGUUGUGUCUGCCAAAAACUAAA